AAUACCACAUGUUUCUCAUUGACUCAAGCCUACCGUGAGCACACGCAUGUGGAGCGUUUGAUCAGCCACGUCAAUUAAUGAGGCUUGAUCAGACGCUCCUGGUUUUUUCUCCUUUUUCAUUUUCUGAUUUUAUUUCUUUUAUUUCCAUUAUUUUCAAAAAUUCAUAACUUCUUCAUUUUAAUUCCAAAAAAUAUGGGACCAAUUGC
RNAcentral lists this long non-coding RNA (206 nucleotides) under Lathyrus oleraceus (garden pea). RNAcentral describes it as "Pisum sativum (pea) long non-coding RNA (PSAT_LNC005864)". Lineage: Eukaryota; Viridiplantae; Streptophyta; Magnoliopsida; Fabales; Fabaceae. The record is from RNAcentral.